This 107-nucleotide small nucleolar RNA is filed under the name Gossypium arboreum. Its description in RNAcentral is "Plant small nucleolar RNA R71". It matches the Rfam family "Plant small nucleolar RNA R71". Rfam says of the family: R71 is a member of the C/D box family of snoRNAs containing the C (UGAUGA) and D (CUGA) box motifs. Lineage: Eukaryota; Viridiplantae; Streptophyta; Magnoliopsida; Malvales; Malvaceae. The record is from Rfam by way of RNAcentral.
AACCCAUGGUGAGGACACCUUCUUAAUAGAGUCUUGUAUCUCUCUCAUGCAGCAUAGAGUGUUUCUAGAUCCAUCUGCACAAAAUAAGAGAUAUCAUUCCUCAACUU